UCUCCUCCUCUCUCACCAUCUCUUCAAUCCUCAUCUCACGAUCUCUCAAACUUGCUGUCUGUCGUCACGGAUUUAAGCUCACCACCUCUGCUCAAGUCUGGAAACCAUGACCCCUCGCCUCCUCCCCUUGGUCUAUCUCUACUUAAGCGUUCAUCUUCUUUUCAUCUUUUUUAAAUAAAAUCUAUUGCUUUUGUUUACAGAUCUGGAAUGAUGAUGACAAAGAGGAGGUAAUGGUGAUCCAGAGACAGAGGCGGCAUAAGUGAUUCACUUUAAUUUUUUUUGCAUUUCUCGUCUCCUCUUCUCUAGCAAUCUCUCGUCUCCUCCUCUCUCACCAUCUCUUCAAUCCUCAUCUCACGAUCUCUCAAACUUGCUGUCUGUCGUCACGGAUUUAAGCUCACCACCUCUGCUCAAGUCUGGAAACCAUGACCCCUCGCCUCCUCCCCUUGGUCUAUCUCUACUUAAGCGUUCAUCUUCUUUUCAUUUUUUUUUAAAUAAAAUCUAUUGCUUUUGUUUACAGAUCUGGAAUAAUGAUGACAUAGAGGAGGUAAUGGUGAUCCAGAGACAGAGGCGGCGGCCGAC
Molecule: long non-coding RNA, 579 nt
Filed under: Brassica napus (rape)
Lineage: Eukaryota; Viridiplantae; Streptophyta; Magnoliopsida; Brassicales; Brassicaceae
Description: long non-coding RNA (BNAP_LNC013455)
Source: RNAcentral